CACAGCAUCAGGUGGUCAGCAAAAGCAACAGAGAGAAGCGGUGCUGAGGUCAGCAUAAAGAUGUGUCACUGUGCAAUUAGCAUAUUUAAUUGCGGCAAUAUGAACUGCAAGUCAUUCAUUUGGUAACGGUGCAAGCUGCAGCGAUUCUCGUGUUUUCAAUCAGCAGGUCGCCACAUAAUAGCGCCGGACUUAACGGCAUGAGAACUGCGUUGUAACACUGCUUAUCUGGAACAGAAUGGCGACGAUGACGGACUCAAGGAGAGCAGCGCAUGUCUCAGUGACUAGUUUGAAAAAGAAGAAAAAUGCCUUGGACUGGCAAAGAGCGACGAUUGAUGGGACAAAGCUACACUGCAUAGUACUUGGGUGACGGAGCGAGUGCUAACGGAUUUUCAAUGAGGAAUUGGCAGCCCGGACCUAACUUCGUCAGAUUAUCUCUCGUUUUGGUCGAUGUACUCCAACAAAGCCAAGUGGGUCGAUAAAUGGAUUGUGUUCACGGGCAAAGCUUUUUUUCUUUGCGGUUUACAUAGUGGUUUGAAAGUUACAGUGCGAUGUUGUUCAUUGAAAUUGUUCGCUUGGCUUGCUCGCGUUCUACAUGGAGUUCCACGCCCUGGUGCAAUAUAGCAGGCAGAGUGUUUAUCGUAUAACAGCAGCUCAUUCUGGAGCUGUGAUAGUGCGCGAAUGUGGCUUGGCGCUGAUGUCGCCGCCUAGCGAACGGUUCGCUAAAUCGGAAAAAACUGCAAAUGAAACAGCCCUACGACGCUUUAAUCUUGCUCUUACAGGCGCAGGAGCUCUCUGAGUCAAUUUAAAACAACCACAUGAGUUCAGUACUUCAACGCAAGCUCCAACCCAAAGAAAAGCGAGCCAGGAACUCUAGAUUCAUUCAUAUUUCUAAAAUAUCUCAAGUCAAUCAAGUAAGAUACUAUCCUACAAUCUUCUUAGCUAAUAACGAUCUUACACGUUGUUUUCGAAUACAUAUUAUGUAAUCAUAUAUGAUACGCAACAAAUGUAAAUUUAAUUUUAGGGCUUAAAUCAUUUGCGCGAAGCUUGCGGCAACCGGUUUGCCACAGACGUACUUAAAGCGACCUGUCGCUUGACGCUUAAUACAAUGUCGCGUUACAAAUGUGUCAUAGUUUACGAAAAAGGAAUUUGAAACCAUAAACAGAAAAACCUAUAUGGGGCUUGUUUAAUCUUUUAA
Molecule: long non-coding RNA, 1195 nt
Organism: Varroa destructor (honeybee mite)
Lineage: Eukaryota; Metazoa; Arthropoda; Arachnida; Mesostigmata; Varroidae
Source: RefSeq, a predicted model, not a curated record